Long non-coding RNA from Oreochromis niloticus (Nile tilapia), 750 nucleotides. RefSeq lists it as uncharacterized. The transcript has 2 exons. NCBI's taxonomy places the organism in Eukaryota, Metazoa, Chordata, Actinopteri, Cichliformes, Cichlidae. The record is from RefSeq and is a predicted model, not a curated record.
AACCAACACUUUGAAGCACUUUCCUUUGAUCACUUGUAGCUCAAUGGAGACACACAUUUAUGAUCAGGUCCCCCAGUUUCAGACACACUUGCACAAGCACACAGAUGACCAAUAUCUCACAGUGGUUUAACACAGUUCUGUCUGGGCUAAAGUACAGACAUCGAACGCUAUGACAGCGGAGUGUGCAGAUGAUCUCAUUACUGUCUAAAAAUGGAUAACAAAACCGAAGGAGUGCUGAAUCAUUGACAAAUACAGAGUAACAGAAUGACCUGCUUGUAUUUACCUUCAUUGAAGGAGUGGUCAGUGUGGGUAUAGCCAUGAGGCAAAAAAGACAGCUGAAGCUGAAGAGUGUGGUGAGAACAUGGUGCCGCCGCCGCCAGCAGGUUUCCAAGCAGGGAUUCGGGUAGCAGGAAGGCUUUGGUAAGCCGUCCAACAUCCAGUCCCAUUUUGUGAAUGCCAAUAAAAAAAUAGCUAGGUGUCCAUGUGUAAUUUGUGUGGAACAAUAUUGCACAAGAAGCUUAAUAGAUUUAGAAAAACAAUAACAAAAAAAAAAUAAAAACUUGAAGAACAAAAGAUAAAUGUCCUUUUUUUUCCAAAGUUUACUCGCCCUGCUCAGUGGUGUACAGCGUUAAGAGGCCAGCAUUCGGACUCCAGAGUUUAACGACCCUAGUUCGAGUCUCUGAUAGUAGUCCGUCUGCUAGAGCAGGGUAGGCCCACAGUGAAAGACGAAGCUCAAGCCUGCCUCCAUUU